CCUACGGGGCGCUGCAGUGGGGAAUAUUGGACAAUGGGCGAAAGCCUGAUCCAGCCAUGCCGCGUGUGUGAAGAAGGCCUUCGGGUUGUAAAGCACUUUCAGUGGGGAAGAAAGCCUGUGGGCUAAUACCCUCGAGGAAGGACAUCACCCACAGAAGAAGCACCGGCUAACUCCGUGCCAGCAGCCGCGGUAAUACGGAGGGUGCGAGCGUUAAUCGGAAUUACUGGGCGUAAAGCGCGCGUAGGCGGUCUGAUAAGCCGGUUGUGAAAGCCCCGGGCUCAACCUGGGAACGGCAUCCGGAACUGUCAGGCUAGAGUGCAGGAGAGGAAGGUAGAAUUCCCGGUGUAGCGGUGAAAUGCGUAGAGAUCGGGAGGAAUACCAGUGGCGAAGGCGGCCUUCUGGACUGACACUGACGCUGAGGUGCGAAAGCGUGGGUAGCAAACAGGAUUAGAUACCCCGGUAGUC
Molecule: ribosomal RNA, 465 nt
Filed under: Vreelandella stevensii
Lineage: Bacteria; Pseudomonadati; Pseudomonadota; Gammaproteobacteria; Oceanospirillales; Halomonadaceae
Description: partial 16S ribosomal RNA
Rfam family: Bacterial small subunit ribosomal RNA
Source: RNAcentral